RNAcentral lists this ribosomal RNA (491 nucleotides) under uncultured Pelotomaculum sp. Its description in RNAcentral is "bacterial SSU rRNA". It matches the Rfam family "Bacterial small subunit ribosomal RNA", at positions 912 to 1382 of the family's 1533-position model. Lineage: Bacteria; Bacillati; Bacillota; Clostridia; Eubacteriales; Desulfotomaculaceae. The record is from RNAcentral.
CUUUAAAAGUAGUAAGUUCGGACGGGGGCCCGCACAAGCGGUGGAGCAUGUGGUUUAAUUCGACGCAACGCGAAGAACCUUACCGAGGCUUGACAUCCCUGACCGCGUAUGAAAGUACGUUUUCACCCUCGGGUGACAGGGAGACAGGUGGUGCAUGGUUGUCGUCAGCUCGUGUCGUGAGAUGUUGGGUUAAGUCCCGCAACGAGCGCAACCCCUACGUUUAGUUGCUAACGCGUGAAGGCGAGCACUCUAGACGAACUGCCGUUGACAAAACGGAGGAAGGUGGGAUGACGUCAAAUCAUCAUGCCCCUUAUGUUCUGGGCUACACACGUGCUACAAUGGCCGGUACAGACGGACGCAAAGCCGCGAGGUGGAGCAAAUCCGAAAAAGCCGGUCUCAGUUCGGAUUGCAGGCUGCAAUUCGCCUGCAUGAAGUCGGAAUCGCUAGUAAUCGCAGGUCAGCAUACUGCGGUGAAUACGUUCCCGGGCCUU